Long non-coding RNA from Gallus gallus (chicken), 1671 nucleotides. NCBI's taxonomy places the organism in Eukaryota, Metazoa, Chordata, Aves, Galliformes, Phasianidae. The record is from Ensembl.
GUGUGGGUUCUGCACCAUGUGGGACAAGAUUCAUCCCAGCUCAGAAGGCUCUGCUCCCCCGUUUACAAGGAUCGAGCUGUGCUCCAGGAGCAGAUGCAUCCCGUGAAAGGCAUCUCUGUGCUUUUCCAGGUGCCUGGGAAGCAGUCUGGAUAGUUAGUAACACAAUUUCUGCAAGGACCAUACUACUAAAGGCUGGCUCCCUUCCAAAGAAGAGAUUUGGAGGAAACAAAAGCUGGCAAAAGUGAUGCUGUAGAUGAAGAACAUGCAGACAGCUGGGCUUAUAACCAAAUGGGAGAGUUAACUUGCAGAAAAACAGGCUAUCUCCAGCCCGAGCAGAGAGGUGAAAUCUUGACAUCACUGAAGGCGCACUGCUGUUCUGCAGGAGAGGUGGCUGUGAGAUACCAGCCAGGUACAGGCACUGGUGGCAGGCUGUGAUUCACCUGUGAAAUCACCUGUAACUACCGCAGGUUGGGUUGCCAUUUCCUCCUCGCAGUGGCUGCAAGGGGGACGCUGCCAGCAAGGUGCUGGCUGCUGUGUCGCAGUGCAACCCUCCAGCACUCCGUGCCACCUGAGCCAUGUGCCAGGGACUGAACAUGCACCUGCAGUUGGCUGCUCUGAGAGAGGCCUGAGCUGGCGAUCCUGUGGCCAUAGCGUAAUGCGAGGCAGUAAGCUGCGUUGGUAUUAGAAUACACUUUUUCAGGCUUCAUACCUACUUGGCUGAGAACGAUAUGCAUGUGCGUAUAUGUAUGCUUGGAGAGGAAAAUCUGUAUAAGCAGCAUUAAACAGAGGAUGUAAUACAUCACUAGGAUGUGAGAGUUGGUGCUUUUUGUGUUUGAUAUCACCACACUUACGUAGAAUUGAAAUAACAAAGCCCAGAAUGUCAUGGGCUCACACACACAGUCUGCUGCAUCUUGUUCUUAUGCGUCACCUCUAUACACGCAGUCGCAUACGUUAACUUGCUUCAGAGGAAAAGAAACACAGACGCAAAUCAAUGUGUUUCUGGACAGCAGCACGCAGGUGGGAGCUCUGUUCUGUGCUGGGAACUUCCCUGGUGGUCAGAUUCACGUUGUCAUGGACAGCACCUGACACGGCCUCUUGCUUUCAUGGGAGAUGCAAGACAGAGCCAAGUCUUGCAAAGAAUUUACAUCCCACUCCAGAAAAAUUCUUAAGAAUUGAUUUAGCAUUAAUCUUAGAAAUCUCUCCUGUUCAAGUGCUUCAUGAAGAUCAAGACAUUAGUUACAUGAUCCUAACCUAAUAGAAAAUUAAGGCUUUUGAUCUCAAAGCUACAUUGGAACUACAGCUGCCUAGGACAUAUUGGGAUCAAGGCUGGAAAGCAGCAUUUCUCUAUGUGGGAUACUUUGCACGUAUCAUAUUUAAAUAAAACUCUUAUCAAUUAAAUUCAGAAAGAUCCCUCUUGCUUCAUUUUCAAGAGUUGUGCUGAUAAUCACUAUUGGAUCUUCCCUAUGAAUAGUCCCCACAGUCACAGUUAAGUAAGAGACAUGAAAAUGUAUCAGAAAUAUUUCUCUCUCCACUUCCCAUGCCUGAAUUCUGCACAAACCAUGCUGUAAGCUCAAAUAAGCACAACUAUUACACAACAGCGUUUGGAAACCGUUCUUAUUCUUGUUGAAGAUAAGUGCAAGUUCUGCCACUGAAUUUGAGGGGAACGUAAUU